RNAcentral lists this ribosomal RNA (435 nucleotides) under uncultured bacterium. RNAcentral's name for it is "bacterial SSU rRNA". It matches the Rfam family "Bacterial small subunit ribosomal RNA", at positions 958 to 1392 of the family's 1533-position model. The record is from RNAcentral.
AACGCGAAGAACCUUACCAAGUCUUGACAUCCUUCUGACCGGUCUUUAAUCGGACCUUUCCUUCGGGACAGGAGAGACAGGUGGUGCAUGGUUGUCGUCAGCUCGUGUCGUGAGAUGUUGGGUUAAGUCCCGCAACGAGCGCAACCCUUAUUGCUAGUAGCCAGCAGGUUAUGCUGGGCACUCUAGUGAGACUGCCGGAGACAAUCCGGAGGAAGGUGGGGAUGACGUCAAAUCAUCAUGCCCCUUAUGACUUGGGCUACACACGUGCUACAAUGGUGGGAACAAAGUGAAGCGACCCUGUGAAGGCAAGCGAACCACAGAAAACCCAUCUCAGUUCGGAUUGUAGUCUGCAACUCGACUACAUGAAGCUGGAAUCGCUAGUAAUCGCAAAUCAGAAUGUUGCGGUGAAUACGUUCCCGGGUCUUGUACACACCG